CCUACGGGCGGCAGCAGUAGGGAAUCUUCCACAAUGGGCGAAAGCCUGAUGGAGCAACGCCGCGUGGGUGAUGAAGGUCUUCGGAUCGUAAAACUCUGUUGUUAGAGAAGAAAGUGCGUGAGAGUAACUGUUCACGUUUUGACGGUACCUAACCAGAAAGCCACGGCUAACUACGUGCCAGCAGCCGCGGUAAUACGUAGGUGGCAAGCGUUAUCCGGAUUUAUUGGGCGUAAAGGGGGCGCAGGCGGUUGUUUAAGUCUGAUGUGAAAGCCUUCGGCUUAACCGGGGAAGGGCAUUGGAAACUGGGAGACUUGAGUGCAGAAGAGGAGAGUGGAACUCCAUGUGUAGCGGUGAAAUGCGUAGAUAUAUGGAAGAACACCAGUGGCGAAGGCGGCUCUCUGGUCUGUAACUGACGCUGAGGUGCGAAAGCGUGGGGAGCAAACAGGAUUAGAUACCCUUGUAGUC
Molecule: ribosomal RNA, 465 nt
Filed under: uncultured bacterium
Lineage: Bacteria
Description: partial 16S ribosomal RNA
Rfam family: Bacterial small subunit ribosomal RNA
Source: RNAcentral